This 20-nucleotide microRNA is filed under the name Bombyx mori (domestic silkworm). RNAcentral describes it as "bmo-miR-2777-5p". Lineage: Eukaryota; Metazoa; Arthropoda; Insecta; Lepidoptera; Bombycidae. The record is from miRBase by way of RNAcentral.
AGGGACCUUGCCUGGGUUAU